AGACAGAAACCGACCUGGCUCACGCCGGUUUAAACUCAGAUCAUGUAAAAUUUUAAAGGUCGAACAGACCUAAUUAUCUAGCAUCUACACCAAACAUUUAUUUUAAUCCAACAUCGAGGUCGCAACCCUUCUAUUCGAUAAGAUCUCUAAAGAAGAUUACGCUGUUAUCCCUAAGGUAAUUUAAUCUUAUAAUCCAAAACAUAGGCUCAAAAAUUCACAAAUUAAUGUCUUUAAUUAAAAAAAGUUAAAUUAAUUUUUCUAUCACCCCAACAAAAUAGAUUGGCCUAGCAAUUAACUUUUAAUCCUACAAAUCAAUAAACUAAACACAACUAUAAAACUCUAUAGGGUCUUCUCGUCUUCUACUAUCAUCUAAGCUUUCUCACUUAAAAAUAAAAUUCAAUUAAAUUUUUACAGAGACAGUCUUUUUUUCAUUAAACCCUUCAUACCAGCUUUCAAUUAAAAAACUAAUGAUUAUGCUACCUUUGUACGGUCAAUUUACCGCAGCCAUUUAAUUACUCAGUGGGCAGGUCAGACUUGAAAUUAUAAUCAACAAGCC
Molecule: ribosomal RNA, 556 nt
Filed under: Trigonopterus echinatus
Lineage: Eukaryota; Metazoa; Arthropoda; Insecta; Coleoptera; Curculionidae
Description: partial 16S ribosomal RNA
Source: RNAcentral